CAAGGAGUCUAGCGUGUGCGAAGAGUCAUUGGGUUUUAAAACCUAAAGGCGCAAUGAAAGUAUCAGGUAGGGGUGCCCUCGGGCUGCCCCUACUAUUGGAAGAUGGGUUUCCGACCCCCGGGUCGGGGCCCCGCACUCCAGGGGCGUCUCUUUCUCUUUAUAGAGUUGAGACGCACCAGGAGCGCACACGCUGUUACCCGAAAGAUGGUGAACUAUGCCCGGCCAGGAUGAAGCCAGGGGAAACCCUGGUGGAGGUCCGAAGCGAUUCUGACGUGCAAAUCGAUCGUCUGAGCUAGGUAUAGGGGCGAAAGACCAAUCGAACCAUCUAGUAGCUGGUUCCCUCUGAAGUUUCCCUCAGGAUAGCUAGCCCUCUUAAUGUAAAGAGUCUCAUCCGGUAGAGCGAAUGAUUAGAGGUGAUGGGAUCGAAACGAUCUCAACCUAUUCUCAAACUCCCAAUAGAUGAGAGCCCCGGCUUGCUUGAAAGUGAAGCCGCGGGACUCGGAUCAGAGUUGGCUAAGUGGGCCAAUUUU
This 530-nucleotide ribosomal RNA is filed under the name Mcateella sp. WCW-2003c. RNAcentral describes it as "eukaryotic LSU rRNA". It matches the Rfam family "Eukaryotic large subunit ribosomal RNA", at positions 667 to 1138 of the family's 3401-position model. Lineage: Eukaryota; Metazoa; Arthropoda; Insecta; Hemiptera; Piesmatidae. The record is from RNAcentral.